UCGGGAAUUUUGGGCAAUGGGCGAAAGCCUGACCCAGCAACGCCGCGUGAAGGAUGAAGUAUUUCGGUAUGUAAACUUCGAAAGAAUAGGAAGAAUAAAUGACGGUAUCCGGAGAAGAAGCCCCGGCUAACUUCGUGCCAGCAGCCGCGGUAAUACGAAGGGGGCUAGCGUUGUUCGGAAUUACUGGGCGUAAAGCGCACGUAGGCGGGUUUGUAAGUAGAGGGUGAAAUCCCAGGGCUCAACCCUGGAACUGCCUUCUAGACUGCAAGCCUGGAGGUCAGGAGAGGCGAGUGGAAUACCGAGUGUAGAGGUGAAAUUCGUAGAUAUUCGGUGGAACACCAGUGGCGAAGGCGACUCGCUGGACUGAUACUGACGCUGAGGUGCGAAAGCGUGGGGAGCAAACAGGAUUAGAUACCCCCGUAGUCCCUGAGCGGGCUGGCAAGGCGCAU
This 449-nucleotide ribosomal RNA is filed under the name uncultured bacterium. Its description in RNAcentral is "bacterial SSU rRNA". It matches the Rfam family "Bacterial small subunit ribosomal RNA", at positions 355 to 825 of the family's 1533-position model. The record is from RNAcentral.